RNAcentral lists this ribosomal RNA (468 nucleotides) under uncultured bacterium. RNAcentral describes it as "partial 16S ribosomal RNA". It matches the Rfam family "Bacterial small subunit ribosomal RNA", at positions 28 to 507 of the family's 1533-position model. The record is from RNAcentral.
GACGAACGCUGGCGGCGUGCUUAACACAUGCAAGUCGAACGGAAAGGCCCUGCUUUUGUGGGGUGCUCGAGUGGCGAACGGGUGAGUAACACGUGAGUAACCUGCCCUUGACUUUGGGAUAACUUCAGGAAACUGGGGCUAAUACCGGCUAGGAGCUCCUGCUGCAUGGUGGGGGUUGGAAAGUUUCGGCGGUUGGGGAUGGACUCGCGGCUUAUCAGCUUGUUGGUGGAGUAGUGGCUUACCAAGGCUUUGACGGGUAGCCGGCCUGAGAGGGUGACCGGCCACAUUGGGACUGAGAUACGGCCCAGGCUCCUACGGGAGGCAGCAGUGGGGAAUAGUGCACAAUGGGCGGAAGCCUGAUGCAGCAACGCCGCGUGCGGGAUGACGGCCUUCGGGUUGUAAACCGCUUUCGCCUGUGACGAAGAGUGAGUGACGGUAAUGGGUAAAGAAGCACCGGCUAACUACGUG